UACGUAGGUGGCAAGCGUUGUCCGGAUUUAUUGGGUUUAAAGGGUGCGUAGGCGGUCCUAUAAGUCAGUGCUGAAAUAUCCCGGCUUAACCGGGAGGGUGGCAUUGAUACUGCAGGACCUGAGUAAAGUUGAGGUUGGCGGAAUUGACGGUGUAGCGGUGAAAUGCUUAGAUAUCGUCAAGAACACCUAUUGCGAAGGCAGCUAACUAAGCUUUAACUGACGCUGAGGCACGAAAGUGUGGGGAUCAAACAGA
This 253-nucleotide ribosomal RNA is filed under the name uncultured bacterium. RNAcentral describes it as "partial 16S ribosomal RNA". It matches the Rfam family "Bacterial small subunit ribosomal RNA", at positions 524 to 776 of the family's 1533-position model. The record is from RNAcentral.